AACGAACGCUGGCGGCAUGCCUAACACAUGCAAGUCGAACGAGACCUUCGGGUCUAGUGGCGCACGGGUGCGUAACGCGUGGGAACCUGCCCUUAGGUUCGGAAUAACUCCCCGAAAGGGGUGCUAAUACCGGAUAAUGUCUUCGGACCAAAGAUUUAUCGCCUUUGGAUGGGCCCGCGUUGGAUUAGCUAGUUGGUAGGGUAAAAGCCUACCAAGGCGACGAUCCAUAGCUGGUCUGAGAGGAUGAUCAGCCACACUGGGACUGAGACACGGCCCAGACUCCGACGGAAGGCAGCAGUGGGGAAUAUUGGACAAUGGGCGAAAGCCUGAUCCAGCAAUGCCGCGUGAGUGAUGAAGGCCUUAGGGUUGUAAAGCUCUUUUACCCGGGAUGAUAAUGACAGUACCGGGAGAAUAAGCACCGGCUAACUCCGUG
RNAcentral lists this ribosomal RNA (433 nucleotides) under uncultured bacterium. RNAcentral describes it as "partial 16S ribosomal RNA". It matches the Rfam family "Bacterial small subunit ribosomal RNA", at positions 29 to 507 of the family's 1533-position model. The record is from RNAcentral.